UGCAUAUCUGUGACAACCUCAUUUACAGAGUUCUAUCAACUUGACUUGUGCUGUCUCUUAAAUCAGUGGUAUGCUCUUUGGUAUUGGACCCAAAUUUCUUUUUAUUUUUUUUUUUUGAGAGUAUCAGAUGAGGAUUCUCUGGGAGACUUGUUCCAACUGCCUUUUUUUCACUCUCAUAUUGUUUUGCUCCUCAUAAACCAAGAUCACAAUCUGUCCUGGAUUGUGUUUGGCAACAAGAGUAACCAUGAGGUCAUUUCCACUAUUAUAGGGUCAAGCCUGAAUUGGAGGCGGCAGUACAUGCGACUUGACUGACUUGUUCUACCGGAUGACACAGUAGUGAGGAUGAGAUUAGUGAAAUCAGUGUAGCCCACGGGAAAGUCCUGCCCAUCCCCACUCCAACCCCUCCUGUGGGAAUUCUUCCAGGGGACUUGUUGAGGGAAGGCGUUGCUAUGAGACAGUGCUGCAGCUGGGCUCUGUGGGGGGCCUGGGUGGUCUCCUAAAAGCGAGCAGUAUCUGCACUUUGAGAAGAUUAGAGGUUUUAUGUGCCACCAGUAUGACACCACUGGCAUAGGUCAUGACCGACAUAUACUAUAAAAAAGCCUCUCGUUCAUUCAUCCAUUAUUUAUUGAAACCAUACUAUAUGCCAGAUAUGCGGCUAGGUUCUGGGGAUAUACUGUCCUUACCCUUGAGGGAAUCACACCUUGCUAGAGAGGGCAAAGAAAGAACACAAAAGACUGCCUCUACCAAGGGCAAGAGAAAAGAGAGGAAGAAGGACACAGGAUGAUGGUCGGUAAGUCCCAUUGUGGCUGUACAGACAAGGGAACACGUACCUGUAAUACAACAUGAUGGAUGCCAUGGGAGAGGUGAGAUGAAGUUCAGAUGUGAACACACCAGAAUAGCAUCUAACCCCAUCUUCCAAGGUCAGUGAAUUGUUUUUGGAAGAUAUGAUAUUUAAGCACAGGCUUAAAGAAUGAGAGGUCAUAUAGGUAAAGAAGUACACAGAGGAUGUUCUUGAAAGAGGGAUUGUUGUAUAAAGGGCUCUGAGGCAUCACAGAAUCUGGGAACACAGGGACAUACAGGUAGUACAGUAGUACUAGUAGGAGUAUUAGUACUAGCAGUACUGGGAGUACUAGUAGUACAGUAGGUCUGGAGCACAAGCGAACAAGGGUAGGCCCAGCGAAGGAAAGGCCUGAGAAGAUAGAGUAGUAGUUUGAAGGGCCUUGAAGGCCAGGCAGUCGCUCUUCUGGUCUUUGUCCCAGGACUUUGAAUGGGAUCAUUGCAUCUCUGGGAGAGCAGUGUUACACCACAUGUCCCCAUAUCCCUGGCCUGUUCGCUAGGGUUUGUGGUACAGAAACAAUACAAAACAAAGAGUACAGGUGAGCUCAGAGGAUGGGGUAUGUACACGGACACCCAGAAAGAAGAUGUUGAGUGGGGGAGCCUAGUUCUCUGAGUCUUAACCUGCAUCUCAGAGGUAGAGCAAGCGGAUAACAGAGGUAGGACUAGCCUCAGCUGACGGAAACAGAUUCAAAGUAACAAGAGGUGAAGCCCGAUAGACAUGCAUUUACCUUUCCCGUGGAAUAGUCUAGGGCUGCUGUGGCAGCAUGGCCAUACCCACCUGCAGCCCACUGCCUUUGUUUCAGAAGCAUCGCUCUCCGUGUGGUGUUCAUGCUGUGGCUCCUGAAGCUAGAGCUACCACACUUGCUUGUGGGACGUUGAGCUCCCAACCAGCAGCCCUUUCCUUAAGGGCUAGUGCUUUCUCCUGUUUCUCCCCAGGUCAGUCAGGCUCAACUGUGUGCUUCUUAUUGGAUUCCUCAGCCUUGCUUCCUGGCACUCUGUUUGAUGGAAAUUUCUACCACCACCUUCAUUAAGUAACUGAUUGUUGAUGUACAGUGGUGAAGUAACCAAGAGGCACUCAGGCAGUAAGUGGGAGGGCCAGUGCACCACCCCAGACCUUCUGCUCAGAGACCACAUCUAGAUCAUUACCUACCACUCCAGGCCAGGUCCAAACACCCAACAGAGAACUUUCAACUCAAAUUCCCCUGAGCCAUUCAACAGGGCCUUCUCUUCAGGAACUUCAUCCUCUCCGGGUGAGAAGCGCUCAACAGCCCUGGGCCUCCUUCUCCAGAGAGACGUCAGAAUAUCCUGCUCGACAAAAACCCUUCACAGAAGUAAUCAUCCCAACUUGCAGAAGAGGGAGCUAAAGUUCAGAGAAGUUGAGUGAACUCAAGGAAAUCAUCCUACUGGUGGAAGCAGGAUCCCAACUCAGAUCUGGGUGUCGUGAAACCGUUCUUUAACAGCUCUCACCUACCUGCCUUUCUGGUAUUUGUCCAAGCAUGUAGGAAAUACCAACUAAACCACUACGCUAGCUGUGGAAAUUCAUAUCUUGUUGAAUGAAUGUAUGCUGUUGCUCCUUCCUCUUGUCUGAUCCCCAAAUCCAUGAAUUCACCGACUUACCUACAACCUACGAGCCUGUGAACAUCAUAUCGGCACCUCAAACUCAACAAACUUGCCCCAGACUGCUCCUCCUGGUCCGGGGUUGGCUAUCUCAGAGAAUGUUCCACAAUUGGCCUGAUCAUUUGGAGUCAGAAAACAGGAAGUCAGUUCUUCCUCCCAGUGCCCUGCGGCCACCACCCUGGUUCUCUGGACUCCGCACAUCGCCUCUUACCUUCCUCCUGUCUAUUCUCUUCAAAAGGCUUGUUGUACCUGUUGUGUAAAACAGUGGAAUGGCUCCUAGCAGGAAAGGAUGGCAUAAAAUUCAAAAUCCUUCCUCAGCGUACACAGCCUAGCAGGGUCCGGCCCCUCCCUGGCCCCGCAGCCCCAUCUCCCACACCCUUGGCUCUGUGCAUGUCUGUCACAGACAGCCUUUCUACACUGCCCCAAAGCCACUGUAUUUCUUCCAGUCUCAGGUUCCGGGCAUUUGAAUAAUUAAUGAUUCCCCACCCGAUUUCGUUUUCCCCGUGGUUCUUAGUGUCUUCUAAGCUAUUUUAUAACUCACUUAUGGUAUCGUUGCUUAUUGUCUGUCUCCCUACACUGGAAUAUAAGCUCCCCUACAACAGAGGCUAUCAUCCAUUUCAUUCACUAGAACCCCGAGCAAUGUCUGGGUCCUUCUGCUUAACAAACAGCUGUUGAAUAAAUUAUUUCAUUCACUUUUAUGUAUGUCACUUAGAUGAAUAAAGAACCU
Molecule: long non-coding RNA, 3181 nt
Organism: Mustela erminea (ermine)
Lineage: Eukaryota; Metazoa; Chordata; Mammalia; Carnivora; Mustelidae
Exons: 5
Source: RefSeq, a predicted model, not a curated record